This is a long non-coding RNA of Hevea brasiliensis (rubber tree), 1470 nucleotides long. RefSeq lists it as uncharacterized. The record is from RefSeq and is a predicted model, not a curated record. The transcript is spliced from 3 exons. Lineage: Eukaryota; Viridiplantae; Streptophyta; Magnoliopsida; Malpighiales; Euphorbiaceae.
UCCCUUCCAUCAUUCAUCCAGUUCUCCACUUCUUCUCCAAUAGCUGUUCAGCCGCUUCUCUUCUGCCAUUUCUACGGUGUUUCUUCGGUCGCUUCUUCUUCGGUCGCUUCUUCUUCGGUUUCAUCAAUCUCAACACAGAAUCGUUCUCAGCAAUCUAGCUCAUUCUUAACAGAUUUGGUUCGUUCUCAGCAGAUCCAGAACUAAGCCAAGAACAGCGCCAAUAGGAAGUCCUAUGAUGUAGUAACAUCCAGUAUUGAUGAAGGCAACUAACAACUGCCACCCGGCACCCACUGCCACCCCUGUAAAUGUCAAGAGAAAAACCUUUAGUCACUUGCAGAGGAAAAAGGAGAAUGGGUUCAUCCCUAGUGCUGUGGAUACUGGAGAGUUUAGUUGCAAUACCAUGGAGCACAGGUUGGAUGCUAUUGAGGAAGAUUGUUGCUGCCAAAAAGUAACCAAGCUUUGAUGCCUCCUUCAUGACUGCUGGUUUACCAGUGAACACUUUUGGAAAGUCAUUCUUGGUUACCAGAAUCAAUGCUGUGAAUACAACUCCAAUUAUUGUUGAAGUUAAAACGGUCACCACCACUGAGAAUUUUGCUACUUUAGGAUUUCCAGCUCCAAGCUCAUUUGAUACUCUCACACUGCAAGCAAGUCAAGUUGAAUUAAAAUCCCCAAACCAUGUUUCUAAGUUGGAUUAAAUCUGUUUUCUGCUAUAUGCUCCAGGACAGAAGCAACUAACCUUAUGGCUGCAUUGAAACCAAGAGCAAUCAUCAGAGCCCACAGUUGCAGGUUCAUGCUGCAAUUAAGAAGAAAUAUGAGAUGAUAAGUAGAAUACAGAAAUCACAUUUUUAGCUGGACUAAUUUGAUAAAUAGGAACAGAACUCUUACCAGAUGGAAACGGCAUCUACUGCAAUUUCUGGAUUGUCUAACCAUCCCACCAUAAGAAUCACAGCUGUAAAAUACCAUAACUCCAAGCUGGCAUUGCCAAGAAGAGAAGAAAAGUGAAAUCCUAAACAUGGAUUUUGCAAAAAUAAAAUUUGAAAACUAACCAUAACAUUACAGCUUAUGCAUUUUCGUAUUUGGCCUGAUAGGUUGGAAACUGAUAGGUUGGUAUUUUGCCUGCAAUUGAAAAGGAUCAAAGUUGGUGGAAAAGAGCUUUGAAGUUUGCUGCAAAGAGAAGGACUAUUGCUACUUCUGGAGGAAAAAGCUAUUAGCAAAAUGGGAUCAGAUCGGAGAUGGAUGUAUGCUAGGUUAAAAGAUGGCCUAUUGACCUCAGAAUUCAUAGAAGGUAUUGAACAAUUUAUAACAUUUGCUAAGCAACAUCCAGAGUGGAUGGAUGGGGAUAAACUGAAGUGUCCAUGUAAUCAUCGAAAGUGUCAGAAUCGUAAUUAUGUUGAUGAGAAUACAAUUCGAUUACAUUUGAUGAAGCAUGGAUUCGUGCCAUAUUAUUAUAAAUGGAUUCUACAUGGGGAA